UCCUGGGUAGUUCAGUGGCUGGGACUCUGCACUUGCAAUGCAGAGGACCCAGGUUCAGUCCCUGGUGAGGAA
Transfer RNA from Ovis aries (sheep), 72 nucleotides. It matches the Rfam family "tRNA". Rfam says of the family: Transfer RNA (tRNA) molecules are approximately 80 nucleotides in length. Their secondary structure includes four short double-helical elements and three loops (D, anti-codon, and T loops). The record is from Rfam. Lineage: Eukaryota; Metazoa; Chordata; Mammalia; Artiodactyla; Bovidae.